GAAUAAUAAAGAGUGAAAUCAAGAAAGUUGACAAAUUAAAACGACUAAGAGGGCGUUUGGUUAAGCUUAUAAGCUGAUCAAACUGACUUCAAAAUACUUUUUAACUUAUCUACGUGUUUGGUAAAAUUAAAAGUGCUUAUAAGCCAAAAUAAGCCAAAAGUCAUAAGUUGGUCUCCCCCAAUUUAUCAAAUUUCAGCUUAUAAGCACUUUACAUUUGACCAAAUUAUUACUAUUUUAUCCCUAAAAAUACUUGUUUACGUGGAAUUUCCUUCUUUUUUUUUUCCCUGCUCGUAAAUUGUUCAUUGGUGACUAUCUCGUUCUUCUCUGCUCGUGGCUCUAUGUGUAAUUGAUUUAUAUGGGAGCACAUACACAUGUGCUAUAACACACUGUUAGCUUUUACUCUUUACUUUCAGACUAUUUUUUUUAAUAUGUUGAGUUAUAUUCUUUCAAAUAUUAUUGAUUAAUUACAUGCUAUUGUAUGUUCCCUUCAUGCGUUCUGCACUCAAUAUCUUUGUUCUAAAAUCUACAGUUACAUUAGCUUGUACCUAUAAUCCCCAUGUGACUAUAUUAAGUGCAUGUUUCUGUUUCAAUUUAUGAUUGUAUACUUAUUGUAACAUAAAUGAUAUUUAUAAAAAAUGAUAUUAUCUAAUCAUUU
This 655-nucleotide long non-coding RNA is filed under the name Nicotiana benthamiana. Its description in RNAcentral is "long non-coding RNA (NBEN_LNC020607)". Lineage: Eukaryota; Viridiplantae; Streptophyta; Magnoliopsida; Solanales; Solanaceae. The record is from RNAcentral.